GCAUAUCAAUAAGCGGAGGAAAAGAAACCAACAGGGAUUGCCCCAGUAGCGGCGAGUGAAGCGGCAAGAGCUCAGAUUUGAAAUCGUGUUUCGGCACGAGUUGUAGAGUGUAGGCGGGAGUCUCUGUGGAGUGCGGUGUCCAAGUCCCUUGGAACAGGGUGCCUGAGAGGGUGAGAGCCCCGUAGGGUGCUGCGCGAAGCUUUUGAGGCCCUGCUGACGAGUCGAGUUGUUUGGGAAUGCAGCUCCAAGCGGGUGGUAAAUUCCAUCUAAGGCUAAAUAUUGGCGAGAGACCGAUAGCGAACAAGUACUGUGAAGGAAAGAUGAAAAGCACUUUGAAAAGAGAGUGAAACAGCACGUGAAAUUGUUGAAAGGGAAGGGUAUUGGGCUCGACAUGGGGGGUGCGCACCGCUGUCUCUUGUAGGCGGCGCUCUGGGCGCCCUCUGGGCCAGCAUCGGUUCCUGCUGCGGGAGAAGGGGCUCCGGAAAGUGGCUCUUCGGAGUGUUAUAGCCGGGGCCAGAUGCCGCGUGUGGGGACCGAGGACUGCGGCUUCUGUCUCGGAUGCUGGCAUAACGGCGCAAUACCGCCCGUCUU
This 591-nucleotide ribosomal RNA is filed under the name Pichia manshurica. RNAcentral describes it as "eukaryotic LSU rRNA". It matches the Rfam family "Eukaryotic large subunit ribosomal RNA", at positions 38 to 655 of the family's 3401-position model. The record is from RNAcentral. Lineage: Eukaryota; Fungi; Ascomycota; Pichiomycetes; Pichiales; Pichiaceae.